UCCCUCCAAAUAUAAUACUUAGAUUAAGUCUUUCAAAUCACAAUUUUUCUUACAUCUCCCCUGCAGGUCAAGCAUCGUAUAUACUCAAAAUAAAAACCUUGAAUAUUAGAAGAAAAAUGUUCACAGUAAGCUUAAGGAAAUACUCAAAAUUACAGUCAUUUUAUAUUUUGCUUCCA
Molecule: non-coding RNA, 176 nt
Organism: Lupinus angustifolius (narrow-leaved blue lupine)
Lineage: Eukaryota; Viridiplantae; Streptophyta; Magnoliopsida; Fabales; Fabaceae
Source: Rfam